This is a non-coding RNA of Claviceps pusilla, 92 nucleotides long. The record is from the annotation of a GenBank genome assembly. NCBI's taxonomy places the organism in Eukaryota, Fungi, Ascomycota, Sordariomycetes, Hypocreales, Clavicipitaceae.
GGCUUCGUGGUUUAGUGGUAUAAUUCUCGCUUAGGGUAACACCCCAAGCAUCCGCAUGCGAGAGGUCCCGGGUUCGAUCCCCGGCGAAGCCC